Molecule: ribosomal RNA, 164 nt
Filed under: uncultured bacterium
Lineage: Bacteria
Description: partial 16S rRNA
Rfam family: Bacterial small subunit ribosomal RNA
Source: RNAcentral
UAGGGAAUCUUCCACAAUGGGCGAAAGCCUGAUGGAGCAACGCCGCGUGUGUGAUGAAGGGUUUCGGCUCGUAAAACACUGUUGUAAGAGAAGAAUGACAUUGAGAGUAACUGUUCAAUGUGUGACGGUAUCUUACCGGAAAGGAACGGCUAAAUACGUGCCAA